GAUGAACGCUGGCGGCGUGCUUAACACAUGCAAGUCGAACGGGAAAUAUUUCAUUGAGACUUCGGUGGAUUUGAUUUAUUUCUAGUGGCGGACGGGUGAGUAACGCGUGGGUAACCUGCCUUAUACAGGGGGAUAACAGUCAGAAAUGGCUGCUAAUACCGCAUAAGCGCACAGAGCUGCAUGGCUCAGUGUGAAAAACUCCGGUGGUAUAAGAUGGACCCGCGUUGGAUUAGCUAGUUGGUGGGGUAACGGCCCACCAAGGCGACGAUCCAUAGCCGGCCUGAGAGGGUGAACGGCCACAUUGGGACUGAGACACGGCCCAGACUCCUACGGGAGGCAGCAGUGGGGAAUAUUGCACAAUGGGGGAAACACUGAUGCAGCGACGCCGCGUGAAGGAAGAAGUAUCUCGGUAUGUAAACUUCUAUCAGCAGGGAAGAUAGUGACGGUACCUGACUAAGAAGCCCCGGCUAACUACGUG
Molecule: ribosomal RNA, 478 nt
Filed under: uncultured bacterium
Lineage: Bacteria
Description: partial 16S ribosomal RNA
Rfam family: Bacterial small subunit ribosomal RNA
Source: RNAcentral